Osmia bicornis bicornis is the source of this 1727-nucleotide RNA transcript. RefSeq lists it as uncharacterized. The transcript has 6 exons. NCBI's taxonomy places the organism in Eukaryota, Metazoa, Arthropoda, Insecta, Hymenoptera, Megachilidae. The record is from RefSeq and is a predicted model, not a curated record.
AUUACAUUUCAUUCAGUGCUAGUGAUUACAAGCUUGCGGCUAAAUUCACACGAUAUCACACACAUACAUACAAGCGAGGUUCGCAACACCUCCCCCCUUAUACAAAAGGUGUUUCCAAUGGGAACAGCUUUCCUUAAAGUGUUUACGCUAGCCUAAAUUACAUUGUUUGUACGGAAACUUCGCGUUGUCACACCCUUCUAUACAAGCGAUAUUUUUUACGUUGCAUGAACCAUAUAAUAAUACGUUGUAGAUAUUAUAAGUUCUCAGGAUACAUAACUUAAACCCUAAAGUAAGAAUAGGUCAUUACAUUUUCUUGUGACUUUGAAUGGUCCUGCCAAAUUGCAAUCAAAUUUCAAGAUUUCUAGUUCUUUAGGUUUACUGCUGCUGCAGAUUGCGUGUUUCUAAUUCUGAAGAACAAAUCAUCCAAUUAACCUAAGAAAGUACGUGGAGGUUCCUGCUUAAAAAAAAACUCAGAUGGAAUGGUGGCUUUCACACCGACUACCAAUUUGUGUGGGGUGAAACCAGUGGCUUCAUGUACUGAGAGUUUACGGGAGGCAAAUCGUUGGCGCCUACGACAUCCUCCCGCAACCCCCAAAAAGGAGAGGCGUCUGUGUCGUCUGUUUCAAUUUAAUUUGGUAAGUGAGCGUUAUUCGGACAAGAGGACAUUUGUUUCAUUUGAGAAAGGUUUAGAGGAUUGCGGAACAACGCAUCGGCAUUCAGCGAAAUCUACCUUACAAACGUUCGCGUUUCCGAUAAGAGGCUACGAAGAUAGGGACAAUCUUGACCCUUCGACCGUUACUGAUUCUAAUCUACGUGCGACGUCGAUAACAGCUUCAAGAUUUGUCAGAGAACAAGAUUUUCCAUCAAACUGAGGUAUCAAAUCCUUCACUAAAGAGAGACGAAGAUAUGACGCUGGAAGCAUACUAGAUGACUCUAUAGAGGUUGGAGUAUUUUUAGAAACAGCAGCAGCAAACGUAGUCGAGGACAAAGGUACAUCAAUUUCUGUGCUAUUAAAGGGGAUAGAAAUAUUAUCCGUCAUAACUGUAUCAAUCCCCUGGGAUAACUGUCGAAUUGGAACUAAUCCUAAUUCUUUCGAUUGCAGAUCUGUAGAAGAUGCCCCGGAAGAUAAAGAAAAUUCUGCAUUUGAUGAAUCUAUGUUUAAUUCCUCUACCAAAAAUGUAUUUUCCCGCAGGCCGAUUUUGCGAUUCCUUUUGGCGCGCAUGUACUUUAACUUAUACGGCGGCAUUUUGUCAAAUUAUUUCUAACGGUUUCACUUAACGAGUUUUCUAUUUUCAAACACCAAACUCCGUCCGUCGGUAAUCCAUUAUCUCGGUUGGCCUUGAAUCACGGGGAGAUCCUCUGGUUCUGCGAUUUGAUGAUGAUCUCUGUUUCCAAGUCGAAGAGAGGUCCAAUGAUGAUGUGAACAAGGUGCAUGUGAUUCCGGUGGAUGGCUUGCACGGCAGCCGAAAUCACCUGUCUCCGGUAUUCACCCUACGCUCUUGAGGAAACCGUGCCAAAACUCAAGAGGGAGAAGUUGCACUAAUGUUAACAAUGUUCACUUAUAUUAUAAAAGCUCAAUGAAGCAGUUCGUAAAACGUUCAGUUAUUUAUUUAACACACGCCCGCGAGCCGGCAAAGUUAUUAAAGCGUACACAAGUCUAACACAGUCACUUUGUCUUGUUUUGCGUUAUUUGCAAUUACUACACUGAAUACACCUUUUUAAAAUUA